UCGGGAAUUUUGGGCAAUGGGCGAAAGCCUGACCCAGCAACGCCGCGUGAAGGAUGAAGUAUUUCGGUAUGUAAACUUCGAAAGAAUAGGAAGAAUAAAUGACGGUACUAUUUAUAAGGUCCGGCUAACUACGUGCCAGCAGCCGCGGUAAUACGUAGGGACCAAGCGUUGUUCGGAUUUACUGGGCGUAAAGGGCGCGUAGGCGGCAAUUCAAGUCAUCUGUGAAAUCUCCGGGCUUAACUCGGAACGGUCAGAUGAUACUGCUUUGCUAGAGUGCAGAAGGGGCAAUCGGAAUUCUUGGUGUAGCGGUGAAAUGCGUAGAUAUCAAGAGGAACACCUGAGGUGAAGACGGGUUGCUGGGCUGACACUGACGCUGAGGCGCGAAAGCCAGGGGAGCAAACGGGAUUAGAUACCCCGGUGUCCCUGAGCGGGCUGGCAAGGCGCAU
Molecule: ribosomal RNA, 446 nt
Filed under: uncultured bacterium
Lineage: Bacteria
Description: bacterial SSU rRNA
Rfam family: Bacterial small subunit ribosomal RNA
Source: RNAcentral